AUCUUGAGAGCUUGCUCUUGGGUGAUCAGUGGCGAACGGGUGAGUAACACGUGAGUAACCUGCCCCUGACUCUGGAAUAACUUCGGGAAACCGAAGCUAAUACCGGAUAUGACACAGAGCCGCAUGGUUUCUGUGUGGAAAGUUUUUCGGUUGGGGAUGGACUCGCGGCCUAUCAGCUUGUUGGUGAGGUAAUGGCUCACCAAGGCGACGACGGGUAGCCGGCCUGAGAGGGCGACCGGCCACACUGGGACUGAGACACGGCCCAGACCUCCUACGGGAGGCAGCAGUGGGGAAUAUUGCACAAUGGGCGAAAGCCUGAUGCAGCGACGCCGCGUGAGGGAUGAAGGCUUCGGGUUGUAAACCUCUUUCAGUAGGGAAGAAGCGCAAGU
Molecule: ribosomal RNA, 389 nt
Filed under: uncultured bacterium
Lineage: Bacteria
Description: bacterial SSU rRNA
Rfam family: Bacterial small subunit ribosomal RNA
Source: RNAcentral